AACGCACCUUGCGCCCUUUGGCAUUCCGAAGGGCACGCCUGUUUGAGUGUCGUGAACUCCUCCACCCUCCACCUUUUUCGGAAGGUGUUGGGCUGGGAUUUGGGAGCUUGCGGGUCCCUGGCCGAUCCGCUCUCCUUGAAUACAUUAGCGAAGCCCUUGCGGCCUUGGUGUGAUAGUCAUCUACGCCUCGGCUUAGCGAACAUAGGGGACUUGCUUCCAACCGUCUCGAAAGGGACAACUACUACGAACUUGACCUCAAAUCAGGCGGGACUACCCGCUGAACUUAA
Molecule: unclassified non-coding RNA, 287 nt
Filed under: uncultured Peniophora
Lineage: Eukaryota; Fungi; Basidiomycota; Agaricomycetes; Russulales; Lachnocladiaceae
Description: partial contains 5.8S ribosomal RNA, internal transcribed spacer 2, and large subunit ribosomal RNA
Source: RNAcentral